UACAGAGGUCUCAAGCGUUGUUCGGAUUCAUUGGGCGUAAAGGGUGUGUAGGUGGCGCCGUAAGUCGGGUGUGAAAUUUCGGAGCUUAACUCCGAAACUGCAUUCGAUACUGCGGUGCUUGAGGACGGGAGAGGAGACUGGAAUUCAUGGUGUAGCAGUGAAAUGCGUAGAGAUCAUGAGGAAGACCAGUGGCGAAGGCGGGUCUCUGGACAGUUCCUGACACUGAGACACGAAGGCCAGGGGAGCAAACGGG
This 253-nucleotide ribosomal RNA is filed under the name uncultured bacterium. RNAcentral describes it as "partial 16S ribosomal RNA". It matches the Rfam family "Bacterial small subunit ribosomal RNA", at positions 524 to 776 of the family's 1533-position model. The record is from RNAcentral.